AGUAACACGUGGGUAACCUGCCCCGAUGAUUGGGACAACCCGAGGAAACUCGGGCUAAUACCGAAUGUGCCCUUCGGCCAUAAGGCCGCUGGGGAAAGGAAGCUUCGGCCUCCGCAUCGGGAUGGGCCCGCGGCCCAUUAGCUUGUUGGUGAGGUAAAGGCUCACCAAGGCAACGAUGGGUAGCUGGUCUGAGAGGACGAUCAGCCACACUGGGACUGAGACACGGCCCAG
Molecule: ribosomal RNA, 231 nt
Filed under: uncultured bacterium
Lineage: Bacteria
Description: partial 16S ribosomal RNA
Rfam family: Bacterial small subunit ribosomal RNA
Source: RNAcentral